GCUCUUUGUAGCUCAGUUGGUAGAGCACACCCUUGGUAAGGGUGAGGUCAGCGGUUUCAAGUCCGCUCAAGAGCUCCA
Molecule: transfer RNA, 78 nt
Filed under: Pseudomonas putida
Lineage: Bacteria; Pseudomonadati; Pseudomonadota; Gammaproteobacteria; Pseudomonadales; Pseudomonadaceae
Description: tRNA-Thr
Rfam family: tRNA
About the family: Transfer RNA (tRNA) molecules are approximately 80 nucleotides in length. Their secondary structure includes four short double-helical elements and three loops (D, anti-codon, and T loops).
Source: RNAcentral